RNAcentral lists this transfer RNA (73 nucleotides) under Marmota monax (woodchuck). RNAcentral's name for it is "tRNA.Ala". Lineage: Eukaryota; Metazoa; Chordata; Mammalia; Rodentia; Sciuridae. The record is from RNAcentral.
UGGGGUUGUGGCUCAGUGGUAGAGUGCUUGCCUAGCAUGUGUGAGGCAUUGGGCUCAAUUCUCAGCACCACAA